Molecule: ribosomal RNA, 433 nt
Filed under: uncultured bacterium
Lineage: Bacteria
Description: partial 16S ribosomal RNA
Rfam family: Bacterial small subunit ribosomal RNA
Source: RNAcentral
AACGAACGCUGGCGGCAGGCCUAACACAUGCAAGUCGAGCGAGGACUUCGGUUCUAGCGGCAGACGGGUGAGUAACGCGUGGGAAUGUGCCCUUCUCUACGGAAUAGCCCUGGGAAACUGGGAGUAAUACCGUAUACGCCCUAUUGGGGAAAGAUUUAUCGGAGAAGGAUCAGCCCGCGUUGGAUUAGGUAGUUGGUGGGGUAAUGGCCUACCAAGCCGACGAUCCAUAGCUGGUUUGAGAGGAUGAUCAGCCACACUGGGACUGAGACACGGCCCAGACUCCUACGGGAGGCAGCAGUGGGGAAUCUUAGACAAUGGGGGCAACCCUGAUCUAGCCAUGCCGCGUGAGUGAUGAAGGCCUUAGGGUUGUAAAGCUCUUUCAGCUGGGAAGAUAAUGACGGUACCAGCAGAAGAAGCCCCGGCUAACUCCGUG